This 685-nucleotide long non-coding RNA is filed under the name Vitis vinifera (wine grape). RNAcentral's name for it is "long non-coding RNA (VVIN_LNC003520)". Lineage: Eukaryota; Viridiplantae; Streptophyta; Magnoliopsida; Vitales; Vitaceae. The record is from RNAcentral.
GGGCUGCGAAAUCAUUUCGCAGCAAAGUGGCAUUUUCGCAGGGGGCUAUUUUUGGCUGCGAAAUUUCGCAGACCACUGAAUUUUUAUGCUUUUGAGCUCCUCUUGAUUCCCAACUUCCUUCUUUCACUUCUUUUGACAUUCCUCUUGAUUUUGAUCAUCCAAAAACCUAUAUUACAUCAAAACAAAUUAGAAUUAAAGUAUUGAAAUCAAAAUUAAAGUAUUGAAAUCAAAAUUAAAACAAGUAAUAAAUUUAAAGAAAGCAUAGAAUUUAAAUGAAGCUGAUAGCAUGUACCCCAAAAAGAAGAUGAACUAUUUAGCUCAUCCUCACUCACACACCCACUUCAUGCUGAAUUCCCCCUGGAUCCCAAACAAAAUUGGCAUCCUUCCCAUUUAGUCCAUGGGAAUUCAUUUCUCUUCUCUUCCCUGGAGAAGUGGAUGCUUUAAAGGGUUCAAGUAACCCUUUAUCAUCUUGAACCUUAUGAUUUUCAAUGGAAGGUUGGUCCAUAGAGUUGUCAUAGCAAUCCCCCACCAAAGUGUUGAUCAUCAACACUUUCCUUGAUCUUUUUGCAUUGGUUCCUUGAAGGUUAUGGUGGGGUUGAGGAGGAAGCUUCCUUAUUCCCCCUUGCUAUGUCGAGAUUGGUGAGCUUCUCAAUGGAGUCUUGAACUUUUUCUAUCCUUAGUGAUA